UUUGAAAGAAAUUUUAGUUUCAUAUUAAUGUAAAAAAUAACUUUUAUUCAGGUUCCGGGAAAACACUGACAUAUGCUAUUCCAAUCCUACAAAAGCUGGGUGAGCGGGAACCCCGAGUUCAACGUAGUGAUGGAUGUUUUGCUAUUAUAAUUGUUCCAACCAGGGAGCUCGCUCUACAGAGCUAUGAAUGGUUUCAGAAACUUUGCAGGGCGUUUAUCUGGUUGGUUCCUGGACUACUGGUGGGAGGAGAAGGAAGGAAAGCAGAGAAAGCUAGAUUGAGGAAGGGUGUAAAUAUCCUCUUGUCUACACCUUUUCGUCUG
Long non-coding RNA from Eurytemora carolleeae, 320 nucleotides. RefSeq lists it as uncharacterized. Lineage: Eukaryota; Metazoa; Arthropoda; Copepoda; Calanoida; Temoridae. The record is from RefSeq and is a predicted model, not a curated record. The transcript is spliced from 4 exons.